This 374-nucleotide unclassified non-coding RNA is filed under the name soil metagenome. RNAcentral describes it as "partial contains internal transcribed spacer 2 and large subunit ribosomal RNA". The stretch from base 1 to 120 matches the Rfam family "5.8S ribosomal RNA", at positions 35 to 154 of the family's 154-position model. The record is from RNAcentral.
GAUGAAGAACGUAGCGAAUUGCGAUAAGUAAUGUGAAUUGCAGAAUUCCGUGAAUCAUCGAGUCUUUGAACGCACAUUGCGCCUCAUGGCAUUCCGUGAGGCAUGCCCAUCUCAGCGUUAGAAAAUAUUCUCAAAUUUUAGUUUUGUGCUAAAAUUUGGAUCAUGUCAAGGAAGCUAUUACUAUUAUUGUGAUCGCUCUUUGGAAAUUGAUAGGUCUUUGAGUUGCUACUCAUAGAACGUGAUGAAUCUUUCUUCGUUCUAUUGUAAUUCACUCUGGUAGUCCUAAAACUUGUAUGCCUGUGGCAUAUCUUGUAAUUUGACCUGAGAUUGGGUAGGGAUACCCGCUGAACUUAAGCAUAUCAAUAAGCGGAGGA